RNAcentral lists this ribosomal RNA (816 nucleotides) under uncultured low G+C Gram-positive bacterium. RNAcentral's name for it is "bacterial SSU rRNA". It matches the Rfam family "Bacterial small subunit ribosomal RNA", at positions 683 to 1505 of the family's 1533-position model. Lineage: Bacteria; Bacillati; Bacillota. The record is from RNAcentral.
GAAAAGGGUAGAGAAUAGGAAGACCACCAGUGGGGAAGGGGAUUCUCUGGCCCGAAAUGACGCUGAGGCAUGAAAGGGUGGGUAGCAAACAGGAUUAGAUCCCCUGGUAGUCCACGCCGUAAACGAGGAAUACUAGGUGUAGGAGGGUCCACCCUUCUGUGCCGCAGUUAACACAAUAAGUAUUCCGCCUGGGAAGUACGAUCGCAAGAUUAAAACUCAAAGGAAUUGACGGGGGCCCGCACAAGCAGCGGAGCAUGUGGUUUAAUUCGAAGCAACGCGAAGAACCUUACCUAGACUUGACAUCUCCUGAAUUACUCGUAACGGAGGAAGCCCUUCGGGGCAGGAAGACAGGUGGUGCAUGGUUGUCGUCAGCUCGUGUCGUGAGAUGUUAGGUUAAGUCCUGCAACGAGCGCAACCCUUAUCAUUAGUUGCUACCAUUAAGUUGAGCACUCUAGUGAGACUGCCGUGGUUAACGCGGAGGAAGGUGGGGAUGACGUCAAAUCAUCAUGCCCCUUAUGUCUAGGGCUACACACGUGCUACAAUGGGCAGUACAGAAAGAUGCAACCUCGCGAGAGUGAGCAAAACUCUAAAACUGCCCCCAGUUCGGAUUGUAGGCUGAAACUCGCCUACAUGAAGCCGGAGUUGCUAGUAAUCGCGAAUCAGCAUGUCGCGGUGAAUACGUUCCCGGGCCUUGUACACACCGCCCGUCACACCAUGAGAGCUGGCAACACCCGAAGUCCAUAGUCUAACCGUAAGGAGGAAAUGGCCGAAGGUGGGGUUAGUGAUUGGGGUGAAGUCGUAACAAGGUAAUGGGCA